CCCGAACACUCCACACAUCCACAUACUACACACACCCACAAACACAACUCAGAAACACACACAUAUUUCAUACAUCACACACAUAUGUAAGUAUACCACACACAUACACACCUAUGCCACACACACACAGUCCAGACACAAUCCGCAUACACCAACACCACACACAGACAUACACAUAACACACAGCACACACAUGCUCCACAAACUCACAUACCAUAAACACACAAUAUACACACACCACCCAAAACAACACACAUGCACCCCCACACCACACAUACAUAUUACAGAAACGCAUACAAACCACACAACCAUAUGCUACACACACACACACACACACAAACACACACACACACACACACANACACACACACACACACACACACUCCCACUUCCUCCCUUGUUAGGAAUUUUAUGAACACAUGGUUAACCUGGGCCAGAUCCUAUAUGAAAAAUAAACAUCAAAUAGAAGUUUAAGAGGACCAGUGUGGCUGUGUAGAGCACACAUUUAAUCCUAGCACUCAGGAGGCAGAGGCAGGUGGAUAUCUGAGUUCAAGGCCAGCCUGGUCUACACAGAUUUUCUCGCACAGAAGGGUAAUGUCUAGAGAUGCUACCUCAAAACAACAAGGAAGAGAUCAAGCUGCAGAAUGACUACAACAGCAGGAGGACUUCAGGGUUAGAGAGUGGUUCAAGGAAGCCAUGAAGCAAGGGAAAGCUGGGGGCAGGGACAGAAACAGUCAGAGCAGGGUCCGCAAGUAUCUGGGAUCU
This 765-nucleotide long non-coding RNA is filed under the name Cricetulus griseus (Chinese hamster). RNAcentral describes it as "lncRNA (ENSCGRG00000024843.1)". The record is from RNAcentral. Lineage: Eukaryota; Metazoa; Chordata; Mammalia; Rodentia; Cricetidae.